CGGGGUGCAGCAGGCGCGAAACCUUCGCAAUGCGCGAAAGCGUGACGAGGUUAAUCCGAGUGGCUUCCGCUGAGGAAGUCUUUUGCCGACUGUAAAAAGGUCGGAGAAUAAGGGGAGGGCAAGUCUGGUGUCGGCCGCCGCGGUAAUACCAGCUCCUCGAGUGGUCGGGGCGAUUAUUGGGCCUAAAGCAUCCGUAGCCGGCUCCGUAGGUCUCCUGCAAAAUCCAGUCGCUCAACGAUUGGCCCGCAGGAGAUACCGCGGGACUAGGAGGCGGGAGAGGUGGACGGUACUCCACGUGUAGGGGUAAAAUCCUUUGAUCCGUGGAAGACCACCAGUGGCGAAGGCGGUCCACCAGAACGCGCUCGACGGUGAGGGAUGAAAGCUGGGGGAGCGAACCGGAUUAGAUACCCGGGUAGUCCCAGCCGUAAACGAUGCGAGCUAGAUGAUCCAGUCGCAAAUCGCGACUGGAGUGUCGCAGGGAAGCCGUUAAGCUCGCCGCCUGGGGAGUACGGUCGCAAAAAGGAAACUUAAAGGAAU
This 537-nucleotide ribosomal RNA is filed under the name uncultured archaeon. RNAcentral describes it as "bacterial SSU rRNA". It matches the Rfam family "Archaeal small subunit ribosomal RNA", at positions 326 to 865 of the family's 1478-position model. The record is from RNAcentral.